GACGAACGCUGGCGGCGUGCUUAACACAUGCAAGUCGAACGGAAAGGCCCUGCCUUUGUGGGGUGCUUGAGUGGCGAACGGGUGAGUAACACGUGAGUAACCUGCCCUUGACUUUGGGAUAACUUCAGGAAACUGGGGCUAAUACCGGAUAGGAGCUCCUGCUGCAUGGUGGGGGUUGGAAAGCAUGCGCGGUUCGGGUUGGACUCGCCGCUUAUCAGCUUGUUGGUGGGGUAGUGGCUUACCAAGGCUUUGACGAGUAGCCGGCCUGAGAGGGUGACCGGCCACAUUGGGAUUGAGAUACAGACCAGACUCCUACGGGAGGCAGCAGUGGGGAUUAUUGCACAAUGGGCGGAAGUCUGAUGCAGCAACGCCGCGUGCGGGAUGACGGCCUUCGGUUUGUAAACCGCUUUCGCCUGUGACGAAGCGUGGGUGACGGUAAUGAGUAAAGAAGCACGGGCUAACUACGUG
This 468-nucleotide ribosomal RNA is filed under the name uncultured bacterium. Its description in RNAcentral is "partial 16S ribosomal RNA". It matches the Rfam family "Bacterial small subunit ribosomal RNA", at positions 28 to 507 of the family's 1533-position model. The record is from RNAcentral.